This 425-nucleotide ribosomal RNA is filed under the name uncultured bacterium. RNAcentral describes it as "partial 16S ribosomal RNA". It matches the Rfam family "Bacterial small subunit ribosomal RNA", at positions 354 to 796 of the family's 1533-position model. The record is from RNAcentral.
GUGGGGAAUAUUGGACAAUGGGCGCAAGCCUGAUCCAGCCAUGCCGCGUGAGUGAUGAAGGCCUUAGGGUUGUAAAGCUCUUUUGUCCGGGAAGAUAAUGACUGUACCGGAAGAAUAAGCCCCGGCUAACUUCGUGCCAGCAGCCGCGGUAAUACGAAGGGGGCUAGCGUUGUUCGGAAUCACUGGGCGUAAAGCGCACGUAGGCGGACCAUUAAGUCAGGGGUGAAAGCCUGGAGCUCAACUCCAGAACUGCCUUUGAUACUGAUGGUCUCGAGUAUGGAAGAGGUUGGUGGAACUGCGAGUGUAGAGGUGAAAUUCGUAGAUAUUCGCAAGAACACCGGUGGCGAAGGCGGCCAACUGGUCCAUUACUGACGCUGAGGUGCGAAAGCUAGGGCAGCGAACGGGAUUAGAUACCCUGGUAGUCC